GGUUGAUCCUGCCAGUAGUCAUAUGCUUGUCUCAAAGAUUAAGCCAUGCAUGUCUAAGUAUAAACUGCUUAUACUGUGAAACUGCGAAUGGCUCAUUAAAUCAGUUAUAGUUUAUUUGAUGGUACCUACUACUCGGAUAACCGUAGUAAUUCUAGAGCUAAUACGUGCGCAAAUCCCGACUUCUGGAAGGGACGUAUUUAUUAGAUAAAAGACCAGCCGGGCUCUGCCUGACUUUCGGUGAAUCAUGAUAACUUCACGAAUCGCACGGCCUCGCGCCGGCGAUGUUUCAUUC
This 292-nucleotide ribosomal RNA is filed under the name uncultured eukaryote. Its description in RNAcentral is "partial 18S ribosomal RNA". It matches the Rfam family "Eukaryotic small subunit ribosomal RNA", at positions 6 to 300 of the family's 1831-position model. The record is from RNAcentral.